UUUUGAAACCACCAUUGAAUCACUAUCGUUUUGCAGACUUUGCACAACUGUACAGGAGAGUGGCCUUUCUACAGCACAUCCUCUUGUCCUAAAAUGAAUUGUGCUUGUUACAGGUGUUUAGACUUGUUGAUGUUUACUAGGCCAAAUGUGUACAUUUACUUAAAAAUAUCUGUACCUGAUGGAUGUGUCGUGGAUACAGUGGCCAGAUUGUGCCCCUGUCAACAGCGAGCAGUUGAUGGAAAGACUAGCUGUGUUGCUACUAAGCGGCUUUUACUUUGGUGAAGUUGGCUCUGUUGUUUUAAAUGGUAAAAAGUAAACUAAUGAAUUUUAAAAGACUCGUGGCUAGCUUAGCAUGAAAGAGACCUUUAACGCUAUAUAUCUGUACAUUUUAUUGCAUUAGUUUCAAAUCUAGGAGAGAGGCGGCACUGUAAACUGAAGUCAAAUAAAUUCAGCUCUUAAUGAAU
This 464-nucleotide long non-coding RNA is filed under the name Bos taurus (domestic cattle). RNAcentral describes it as "long non-coding RNA NONBTAT026991". Lineage: Eukaryota; Metazoa; Chordata; Mammalia; Artiodactyla; Bovidae. The record is from RNAcentral.